UGGGCAACCUGCCCCUCUCUCUGGGAUAACCCCGGGAAACCGGAGCUAAUACCGGAUGCUCCGGCUGGAUCGCAUGGUCCGGCCGGGAAAGAUCCGCCGGAGAGGGAUGGGCCCGCGGCCUAUCAGCUUGUUGGUGGGUCAUGGCUCACCAAGGCGACGACGGGUANCUGGUCUGAGAGGACGACCAGCCACACUGGAACUGAGAUACGGUCCAGACUCCGUACGGGAGCA
RNAcentral lists this ribosomal RNA (231 nucleotides) under uncultured bacterium. RNAcentral describes it as "partial 16S ribosomal RNA". It matches the Rfam family "Bacterial small subunit ribosomal RNA", at positions 118 to 347 of the family's 1533-position model. The record is from RNAcentral.